Molecule: ribosomal RNA, 497 nt
Filed under: uncultured bacterium
Lineage: Bacteria
Description: partial 16S ribosomal RNA
Rfam family: Bacterial small subunit ribosomal RNA
Source: RNAcentral
GAUGAACGCUGGCGGCGUGCCUAAUACAUGCAAGUCGAGCGAACGGACGAGAAGCUUGCUUCUCUGAUGUUAGCGGCGGACGGGUGAGUAACACGUGGAUAACCUACCUAUAAGACUGGGAUAACUUCGGGAAACCGGAGCUAAUACCGGAUAAUAUUUUGAACCGCAUGGUUCAAAAGUGAAAGACGGUCUUGCUGUCACUUAUAGAUGGAUCCGCGCUGCAUUAGCUAGUUGGUAAGGUAGCGGCUUACCAAGGCAACGAUGCAUAGCCGACCUGAGAGGGUGAUCGGCCACACUGGAACUGAGACACGGUCCAGACUCCUACGGGAGGCAGCAGUAGGGAAUCUUCCGCAAUGGGCGAAAGCCUGACGGAGCAACGCCGCGUGAGUGAUGAAGGUCUUCGGAUCGUAAAACUCUGUUAUUAGGGAAGAACAUAUGUGUAAGUAACUGUGCACAUCUUGACGGUACCUAAUCAGAAAGCCACGGCUAACUACGUG